CCGACGGUGAGGGAUGAAAGCUGGGGGAGCAAACCGGAUUAGAUACCCGGGUAGUCCCAGCUGUAAACGAUGCAAACUCGAUGAUGCGUUGGCUUAUUGCUAGCGCAGUGUCGCAGGGAAGCCGUUAAGUUUGCCGCCUGGGAAGUACGUACGCAAGUAUGAAACUUAAAGGAAUUGGCGGGGGAGCACCACAAGGGGUGAAGCCUGCGGUUCAAUUGGAGUCAACGCCUGAAACCUUACCCGGAGAGACAGCAGAAUGAAGGUCAAGCUGAAGACUUUACCAGACAAGCUGAGAGGUGGUGCAUGGCCGUCGCCAGCUCGUGCCGUGAGAUGUCCUGUUAAGUCAGGUAACGAGCGAGAUCCCUGCCUCUAGUUGCCACUAUUACACCCUGGUGUAGUAGGGCGAAUUAGGGGGACCGCCGCAGUUAAUGCGGAGGAAGGAAGGGGCCACGGCAGGUCAGUAUGCCCCGAAACUCUGGGGCCACACGCGGGCUGCAAUGGUAGCGACAAUGAGUCCCGAAAUCGAAAGAUGGAGGUAAUCCCUAAACGCUACCACAGUUGUGAUUGAGGGCUGCAACUCGCCCUCAUGAACAUGGAAUCCCUAGUAACCGCGUGUCAUUAUCGCGCAGUGAAUACGUCCCUGCUCCUUGCACUCACCGCCCGU
RNAcentral lists this ribosomal RNA (664 nucleotides) under uncultured archaeon. RNAcentral describes it as "bacterial SSU rRNA". It matches the Rfam family "Archaeal small subunit ribosomal RNA", at positions 691 to 1353 of the family's 1478-position model. The record is from RNAcentral.